Hemicordylus capensis (graceful crag lizard) is the source of this 227-nucleotide long non-coding RNA. RefSeq lists it as uncharacterized. The record is from RefSeq and is a predicted model, not a curated record. The transcript is spliced from 3 exons. Lineage: Eukaryota; Metazoa; Chordata; Lepidosauria; Squamata; Cordylidae.
CUUAGGAGGAAGAAGGUGGCCCCUUCUUCACGGGGUGCCUGUUCAUUAUUUGAAGGACAAGAUCUGUUUGAAGCCAAGAUAAGUAAUACAGCAAAGAACGUCGGACUAACAAAUGCAGCGCUUUCUCCAAUGGCAACUGUGGACUUUGAAAAAAGAGCUGAAGGGAUUGUAAAUCCUGUCGGGGCAGCCGUGCCAACAGAUUUACAACACCAGUACACAGUUUAGAA